AAUUCUCAAUCAUCUUCUCUUUCUUGGGGAUCAAGUUGGCUAGUCUUUCGACGUGCACGGCUUUGGACGUGAUAAUGAUCGUCAUGGCUGGAGCGUCUUCUAGUUCAUCAGAUAGCUUCUAAUCUCGAGAGGAAGAGAGCGAUCAAGCUUUCAAUGGCUACUAGGGCAGCAGUCUGAAAUGACAAGGCUGGCCGAACGCAGAAAGAGGGCAAGAUCUAUCUCUCGACUUCAGAUAUCAGAG
RNAcentral lists this unclassified non-coding RNA (241 nucleotides) under uncultured Phylloporus. RNAcentral describes it as "sequence contains ITS2". Lineage: Eukaryota; Fungi; Basidiomycota; Agaricomycetes; Boletales; Boletaceae. The record is from RNAcentral.